GACGAACGCUGGCGGCGUGCUUAACACAUGCAAGUCGAACGGAAAGGCCCUGCUUUUGUGGGGUGCUCGAGUGGCGAACGGGUGAGUAACACGUGAGUAACCUGCCCUUGACUUUGGGAUAACUUCAGGAAACUGGGGCUAAUACCGGAUAGGAGCUCCUGCUGCAUGGUGGGGGUUGGAAAGUUUCGGCGGUUGGGGGGGGGCUCGGGGCUUGCCAGCUUGUUGGUGGGGUAGUGGCUUACCAAGGCUUUGACGGGUAGCCGGCCUGAGAGGGUGACCGGCCACAUUGGGACUGAGACACGGCCCAGACUCCUACGGGAGGGAGCAGUGGGGAAUAUUGCACAAUGGGCGGAAGCCUGAUGCAGCAACGCCGCGUGCGGGAUGACGGCCUUCGGGUUGUAAACCGCUUUCGCCUGUGACGAAGCGUGAGUGACGGUAAUGGGUAAAGAAGCACCGGCUAACUACGUG
This 468-nucleotide ribosomal RNA is filed under the name uncultured bacterium. RNAcentral's name for it is "partial 16S ribosomal RNA". It matches the Rfam family "Bacterial small subunit ribosomal RNA", at positions 28 to 507 of the family's 1533-position model. The record is from RNAcentral.